Long non-coding RNA from Betta splendens (Siamese fighting fish), 1328 nucleotides. RefSeq lists it as uncharacterized. The transcript is spliced from 2 exons. NCBI's taxonomy places the organism in Eukaryota, Metazoa, Chordata, Actinopteri, Anabantiformes, Osphronemidae. The record is from RefSeq and is a predicted model, not a curated record.
UUAAACUGAAUAAAAUGAAGUGCACCAUUAAUUUUUAAUUAUUCAUCAUUUGAUAUACAUAAUAAAUAUUUUAAAAUGUUCAUUACAUAUUUAGGUGUGAUGAAGCAUGAUUCUGCACAAGACUGAUUCCCCCCCAAUAUACUGUACAUUGUUUACAAUUGAGAGAAAUACCUUCAUUUUCCACAAUUCAUUUAUAACCCUGCAUACUACCCACAAUCAGUUUAUUUUUAGUUUACCUAUAGAAAGCAUUUAAAUUUUAAUUUAAAUAGUCUGGGUCAAAAAAAAUGUUUAAUUAUUUUAUUGAUUAUUAUUUAUAUUAUCAACAAAUAUAAUCUGCACAAAUGAGAUAGUACACACUUCUUAUUUUAAAUAUUUUUCUGAAUUAAGUUAAUACAUUAGAAUUUUCUUUCACAUUAUCUAAAGGAUGCUUUGCACGGCGGGGUCUAUUUUCUGGACUACAACAUGACAACGGCGGGAACAUGAACAUAUGAAUGUUCCAGUGCUCAGGUAAUAGUCUGCUUCAAAAUCGACGGCGAUGAAAAGAGUGGCGAGCGACGCAAAGCAAAUGACACGCUGUUAUCAAGAGGGCGCAGGUCUCACCUUGACGCAAUCCUCGGUGCAAUUUUGUCUUAGUUUUCACAGAGCGUUGGUUAACCAGACAGCCAGGAAAGUCAAAGUACGUGUUUAUUGUUGCUGUGAUAGCUGUUUAAAUUUGCGACCGCUUCCGGCCGUCCGUGACGCUUAAGAGGCUCCGAAGGAAACAGGAGCGGAGAGUUUCAGUUCCGCCUCAGCAUCGCUGCCAGGAUGCCCCUGUGAUUUAUCACCCACAUUGGAGCCCACGUACAGUCUACAGCGGUAAUUGCAUUCCUUUAACCCUUUAACACUGUUGUCUGCUGACAGAAAUAACUGUUCCUUCAAGUGCAAUAUAUUCAUAUACCGCAUAUAUCUUUAUUAAACUGGUUUUAUCAUCCUGUGCUGGACCAGCGUAUUUUAUCUUAUUUCCAGUUAAGCAAAAGUCUCAGUGUCAGAAAUAAUAUCGGUCAUAACAAGUCCCUUCUACAGUUCCUAAAUUAUAACUACACAAAUGUACACAGUACAAAAGCGUGUCUUAAAUGUAGGCUUCAGGUUUAUAUGUUUGUCUUGAAGUCCAUGAUGAUGAACUAGAGAAGCACGUUUUUAUUAUUUUAGGUAAUGACACAAUUAUUUUCAACAAAAAUGCCAUAUCUCCCUUAACUAACAGAAAAACAUGCUUGAUCAUUGCAGGGUAUGGAUCCAGUCCAACCAGUAUAACCAGUAACAUUUACUGUAUCAACUAAAUAAAGUUGUUU